UUUUGUUUGAAUUUGAGGAAUCAAAUGUUAAAAGAGGGAAGAUAAAUGUGAAGAAAGUACAUGGUGUAGCAUCUUGGGUCUUUUUUAUUUUUUGCUUUUGAGCUAGCUGUCAGAGUUUGUUUUGAAUUGCCCUUUACUAGGAUAUUGAAAAACUGGAAUGUUGGCAAAAAGUGAAGAGCUCAGAAAUGUUCUGUUUUCAAGGAUUUAGGUUUCUUUCUCCUUAAAAUGAUUAACAAAGUUUGGAUCUUUGGAUGUUUGUUCUAGUCGUGGCUGCUAUUUUUGUUGAUCAACAAAUUUUGAUGGAUGAUGAUUUUUUUUCCUUUUUGUGCUUUUCUUGUUUGUGG
RNAcentral lists this unclassified non-coding RNA (344 nucleotides) under Hevea brasiliensis (rubber tree). Lineage: Eukaryota; Viridiplantae; Streptophyta; Magnoliopsida; Malpighiales; Euphorbiaceae. The record is from RNAcentral.